RNAcentral lists this transfer RNA (66 nucleotides) under Hoplodactylus sp. Roys Peak. RNAcentral's name for it is "tRNA-Cys". Lineage: Eukaryota; Metazoa; Chordata; Lepidosauria; Squamata; Diplodactylidae. The record is from RNAcentral.
CAAGUCUUGUAGUGCGCAGCACGCCGAAUUGCAAAUUCGGAGCCGUCACUUGAAGUGGCCCGGACU